GUGCUCCUUCAGCAGCUCGUAUACUGGAAUUGGACCGAUACAGAGACGAUUGGUGUGGCCCCUGCACAGGAUGACACACGGGGUCAUGAAGCGUUCCUUAUUCAA
Small nuclear RNA from Marmota marmota marmota (Alpine marmot), 105 nucleotides. NCBI's taxonomy places the organism in Eukaryota, Metazoa, Chordata, Mammalia, Rodentia, Sciuridae. The record is from Ensembl.